Molecule: ribosomal RNA, 440 nt
Filed under: uncultured bacterium
Lineage: Bacteria
Description: bacterial SSU rRNA
Rfam family: Bacterial small subunit ribosomal RNA
Source: RNAcentral
UGGGGAAUAUUGGACAAUGGGCGAAAGCCUGAUCCAGCCAUGCCGCGUGUGUGAAGAAGGUCUUCGGAUUGUAAAGCACUUUAAGUUGGGAGGAAGGGCAGUCAGCGAAUACCUUGCUGUCUUGACGUUACCGACAGAAUAAGCACCGGCUAACUCUGUGCCAGCAGCCGCGGUAAUACGGAGGGUGCAAGCGUUAUCCGGAUUUACUGGGUUUAAAGGGUGCGUAGGUGGGUCUGUAAGUCAGUGGUGAAAUCCCCAAGCUUAACUUGGGAACUGCCGUGGAUACUAUCAAUCUUGAAUAUCGUGGAGGUAAGCGGAAUAUGUCAUGUAGCGGUGAAAUGCUUAGAUAUGACAUAGAACACCAAUUGCGUAGGCAGCUUACUACACGAUCAUUGACGCUGAGGCACGAAAGCGUGGGGAGCAAACAGGAUUAGAUACCC